Molecule: long non-coding RNA, 2057 nt
Organism: Marmota monax (woodchuck)
Lineage: Eukaryota; Metazoa; Chordata; Mammalia; Rodentia; Sciuridae
Exons: 3
Source: RefSeq, a predicted model, not a curated record
GAAUGCGAGCGCCUGCAAAGCAAACCUGCCCCCGCGGUCGCCUCUGAGCAUGCCCAGUGCCGCCGUGGGCGAGCCCGAGCGCCCUAGCCCGGGGCAAAGUGCAGCGGCAGGGGCCCAGGAACUCGCCCCAGGCUACAGAGCACAGGGGGAAGGGGGUGGAAGGGAGGAUCAAGAGCGCGGGCUCGCAGCAGAGGACCUGGAACAAACUGGUCAGUGUGUACAAGGCAAUGUCUCAUCAAGAUCACCCCCUCCAUACAAAGUGCCUUCUAAUUCAAAUGCAGGCCAGCACUGUAGUGUCUGCCUCAUCCAGACACCUGGGACCUACCUCAGUGCUGUGCUGUGAGUGAUUUUUCCCUGCAGUAGGUUGUAUCAGCUUGUAUGGCACCAUCCCAAGGAUGCAAGAGUGGAAACUGCAAUACUUCUUCAGAUCUAAGUUGCAAAACUUGCACAUCAUUGCUGAUACAGUUUAUUAUUCAAAGCAAAUUACAAGGUCAUCCCAGACUAAAGGAGUGGAGAAAAAGACUCUACCAUCUGACGAGAGAAAUUACACAAUCAUGUGGCAGUACUUUCUAGUUGCUAUAGCCUACCCUGUGGCCACAGUUAUUUACAUUCUUUCUGCAUGUAAAAUAUGCUCACUCUUCCCUAAAAGGCCUCAUCCCAUUCUGACUCAGUCUCAAAAUUUUAAAAUAUUAUCAUCUAAAUGUAGAUUACAUGUAGAUGAGGAUCCCUGGUCGAACUCUUGGGUAUGAAUCCUGUUCCAGAGAUUUGUGAAUUAAAAAAACCAAGCUAUCUACACUUCACAACCCAAAUAGAAAAUUGCAGUGAUGCUCCGAUUCACAAGGCAGAGAAACAGGAAACACAGAGCAAUAACUAGAAUAUAGGAAUUCUGAAGUCUAGCCAGGUACACUGACAGUUCCCUGUGUUUCAGGACAGAUACAUCCCUUGAUUAGAGCACACUCUGCUUUCUGAAUGGUCCCCUAGCCCAGUAUUCUUCAUCAUUUCAUGCAUUGAUCCAUUGAGAAGUCUGUGAAUUCCACCUCCUUAAUAUUUCUUAAAAGAAUGAAAUUAUGUCAUUUGCUGGUAAAUGGAUGGAAAUGGAGAAUAUCUUGCUAAGUGAAAUAAGCCACACUUAGAAAGACAAGAGUCAAAUAUUUUCUUUCUCUCUCUCUCUCUCUCUCUCUCUCUCUUUCUCUUCAGAAAAAAUAAAGGUUGUGGGGGGAAUCUCACAAUAAUAGAAAAUAAUAGAAGGGAAAACAAUAGCAUAGAGGAAGGGGAUGCGGGGAAGAGUGAGAGUGAGCAAGACAGGAAGGAGGGGAGGGCAUAGGGAGUACUUGUGUUAGAAAUCUACCAAAUUAUGCUAUGACCAUGUAUGAAUAUAUCACAAUGUACAUAUAUAUAAUUAUAAUGCACUAAUAAAAAUAAUAAUAAUAAUAGGAGAGAGAUCAGUAGAGUAGAAAAGGUGGAUCAGAGGAAGGGAGGAAGGGGGAAAAGGAAGGUACUGGGGAAUGAGAUUGAUCAAAUUAUGUUAAGUGCAUGUGUGAAUAUGGCAUAAUGGAUUCUGCUAUUAUUUGUUAUUACAAUGUACCAAUAAAAACCCUUCCAAUCUAUUAAUAAUGCCACUACUUUGAGGCCUUUAUGAUUUAUUUUGCCUUUACAAUUGAAAUGAUUUCCCUGCCAACUGUUUCUUUCUUUAGUGCACCAGAAAGUUCUUUGGAAACACAAAUCUGAUAAUGUAUUUUCAUUGCUUAAGAUUUUUCCAGUGGUUCUGGUAGCGUUCUUUUUCUUAAUGUAGGUGUUGAUUACACAGCUGUGUUUGCUUUGUGAAAAUUUAUUGAGCUGUAAACAUAUGAAUUAUGUACUUUCUGCAUAUAUGACUUAAAUGAAAAGGUUAUAUUUAAUAAUCCUCCCAUAGUUUCCCAUUGUAUCCAGGAUAGAGUCAAAACUCUUAGCACAAUACAUAAAGCCUGUCAGGACUCCUAUGUUUCCAAAUUCCUGUUAUUGCCCCUAACUUCCCAUGGAUAAUACCUUGUCUUCUGCAAAUAAACUAUUUUUUUUUG